This is a long non-coding RNA of Brassica oleracea var. oleracea, 1070 nucleotides long. RefSeq lists it as uncharacterized. The record is from RefSeq and is a predicted model, not a curated record. Lineage: Eukaryota; Viridiplantae; Streptophyta; Magnoliopsida; Brassicales; Brassicaceae. The transcript is spliced from 4 exons.
CCCGAUGAUCGGUUUCUUCGAGAUUGGAAAGGGAGAGAGACAUUCAAGCGGAAUGGAGGUCCUCCAGUGGUGUUAGAUCCAAAUUUGCAUCAUGGCCGAUGACAGGGUGGGAUUAGUUUCCCUGAAGCUUUGAAUCCUGUUCUUAAUUUGUCUAGAGAGAGUGGUGAAAAGCGAAUCCACCGACCGAAAAGAGUUGGAGUGCAAGCGAGAGUUCCUUUCAUUCCAUGUCCAGUAGAUUGUUCAUUUCCAAGCUAAGAGGGGUUGAAUUCCACACUUUCUAGCGCUGAGGGACCAUAAAUCAAAGCUGAAAGGGCAGUCGUGGAAGAGAUGAUCGCGAGAUUCAGAGUGGGAAUUACAUAAGAGACAGAGCGGUGAAACCUGCAAUCCCCAACUGAUGAGCCUAUCUCUAGUGGGGCACCUGUUCUUGACAACCAACCAAGCUAAAAAACAGUGUCUAGGGAUCCCAUAUGAAGACCAUAUCGCAUUUGCCCAGUUUACUUCAUCAAUGUCUCCACAGAGGAGGAAGGCGCCAAUUUCCAUUGCUGCAGAUAGAAGCAACCGUAGCUUUAAGAGGGAUUCCCAGUCUUGACGAUGAGUGUUGGAGGAAAGUUGAUAAACUGCCAAAAGGAGUCCAAUUGUCAAACCAGAACCUGGCCGAUAGUCCAUCCUGCAGCUUUAGUUUGAUGAGUGGGAACACCACCUCCUUAAGCUUUAGAAGCUUGUUUGCUAGCCAAGAGUAGGAGCUGUUAGGUUGCAACCCAAAUAGAUCCUGCUCUAAAGAACAGCCUCCAAAUCAGCUUCAGACAACAAGCUUUGUUCCAAGUGUGCAGAUCCCUUAUCCCCAAUCCACCCUGAUUCUUUAUAAACGCAGAGCACCAGAAAGUAGUGAUACCCGAGAUCACUGUUUUUAUUAGGAGGAGUCUACCCGAGAAAGAUAGUGACUUCACAGACCAAGAAGAGAGCCUUGUCUUAAUUUGAUGAAUGAGAGGUUCACAGCUGGUGAGAUUUAACUUUCUGGAGCUUAAAGGCAUUCCUAAGUGAAAUGGACUUUUCAAAGGUCCAAUAAUAAA